RNAcentral lists this long non-coding RNA (1050 nucleotides) under Sus scrofa (pig). RNAcentral describes it as "lncRNA (ENSSSCG00030008289.1)". Lineage: Eukaryota; Metazoa; Chordata; Mammalia; Artiodactyla; Suidae. The record is from RNAcentral.
UGUAUAUAACUUCCUAAAAUAAUCCAGUAGAUACAGAACAAAAAUUACUUACCUCAGGGUCUUUGUAAAUCUGUUUCUUAGGUUGGUUUCCCCAAGAAGCACCAUUAAACAAACAUUCAAGCACAAGUCGUUUCUCUGGAGAUGAAGGAGUAGGAAGAUGAGAUUAAAAAGCCAGGAAAGGAUGCCUAUGAAGCCAGUCACACGGUCCUCCUCCACACAAAAGGCCACACGGAGAAACCGUCCUCCACAAAGUGAGCUGGCCAUCACCUCUGCUCCCCCUUUUCCACCUGCUAGAUGCUGGGCAGCCAUUCGGGUUUACAUCUACCACCUGCUGACCCAUCCAACACAGGUUCUUCUCGACGUGAGAAAAAUCUCUGUCUCAAACAGCAGCGACUUCAGAGUUCUUUUGUGGCACAACGGGUUAAGGAUCUGGUGUUGUCUCUGCAGCAGCUUGGGUCACUGCUGUGGUGUGGGUUUUAUCCCUGGCUCAGGAAUUUCCACAUGCCGUGGGCAUGGCCAAAAAAAAAAAAAAAAAAACUUAUGUAUAUUCUUGUUUUAAAAGUUAGGGCAGAGCCUGGCAUGAUUUUUCACAUACUCAGUCUAACCAAUGAACAUUCAAGUAUCUUGUAGUUAUGUUAAAAACCAUCAUCAUUAAUUCACAAGUAUUUACCUUGAUUGAUAAGAGAUAGGUAGUUCUUAGAAGAACUGUAUGUGUUCAAGCAGUUAAUUUUUUAAAGUAAACUUAGAAUUUCUUUAAGUGUAACUUCAAGCUGGUGUCACUUAUUUUAAAAGUAAUACAUAAAAGCAUUUCUGAUCAUUAUAUGCAUCUGUGAGCAUAUAUUUAUACAAAUAUUUUCGUGUAUUUUGGAGAAUUUAGUCAAGAGUCUAAAUGAUUCAAGCAGUAAAAGAGUAGUUGAAAAAAGACCAUGAAGACAAAGCAGAAACAGAAGUACCAAUGAGGUAACUAACAACCUAUAACCAAGGUACCAGAACAUGAUGGGAAAUGUGUCAGCUUUCUCUAAACUUUUAUAUCAGUCUUAUGCUACACAC